AGGGCUACAAAAUAGAGCUGCUAACUCUAUAAUAAUGGAUUCAUUUAGCCCUU
RNAcentral lists this transfer RNA (53 nucleotides) under Alectorobius amblus. RNAcentral describes it as "tRNA-Ser". Lineage: Eukaryota; Metazoa; Arthropoda; Arachnida; Ixodida; Argasidae. The record is from RNAcentral.